UCAGGGAUAGCUCAGUUGGUAGAGAAUGAGACUCUUAAUCUCAGGGUUGUGGGUUCGACCUCCACAUUGGGCAAAA
This 76-nucleotide transfer RNA is filed under the name Podarcis lilfordi (Lilford's wall lizard). Its description in RNAcentral is "tRNA.Lys". The stretch from base 8 to 65 matches the Rfam family "tRNA", at positions 8 to 63 of the family's 71-position model. From Rfam's summary of the family: Transfer RNA (tRNA) molecules are approximately 80 nucleotides in length. Lineage: Eukaryota; Metazoa; Chordata; Lepidosauria; Squamata; Lacertidae. The record is from RNAcentral.